RNAcentral lists this ribosomal RNA (684 nucleotides) under Triticum aestivum (bread wheat). RNAcentral describes it as "partial small subunit ribosomal RNA". The record is from RNAcentral. Lineage: Eukaryota; Viridiplantae; Streptophyta; Magnoliopsida; Poales; Poaceae.
AUGUUGGGAGACUUCAAUGAAAUUUUACUAUCUUCGGAGAAGGAGGGAGGCCCUCCUCGCCAACAUGUAUGAAUGAAGGCUUUCCAGGAUGCCCUGUCAGACUGUGCUUUGGAAGAUAUGGGUUAUGUCGAAGAUAAAUUCACUUGGUUCAGAGGUGGACUCAAGGAGAGGCUGGACCGAGCGGUAACAAAUGCAGACUGGAUGAACAUGCACCCAUUGGCAGGGUUAUGUAAUCUUGAGAUGGGGAAAUCUGAUCACCGCCCCAUCUUAUUGGAUACUGAAUAUCUUUCAGAUGCUUCUGCUGGUCGGUGCAAGGUGGCUCGCCGGUUUGAAGCACGAUGGCUGGAAGAAGAACUAGUCGAGGAGAUCAUCAAAACAGCAUGGCAGAAGGCGAUUCAUAGAGGGCUUUGUCCUUUGAUCAAAGACAAAGUGGAGGCUGUUCAUAGUGAUCUGCAUGCAUGGGAUAGACGAGUGCUCAAGGGGCCUCGCAACAGGUUGAAACAGGCCCAACAAGAUCUGGAAAAGGUGAUGAGGCAAGAAUAUACGGAACAGAGCCGAAUAAAACAAAAGGACCUCUCUGUUCUCAUUGAAAAUUUACUUGAUGAAGAAGAGAUCUUUUGGGCCCAACGAGGCAGGGUUAGAUGGCUACGCCGAGGUGAUAGAAACUCUAAGUACUUUAAUUAG